Molecule: non-coding RNA, 1237 nt
Organism: Zootermopsis nevadensis
Lineage: Eukaryota; Metazoa; Arthropoda; Insecta; Blattodea; Termopsidae
Source: RefSeq, a predicted model, not a curated record
CUGCUCUAACCAGCCACCAGCAGUUUGUUGAUCAUUCCUGGUGGGAAGGAGAGUACGUGUUAAUGUUCAGGCGAUAGGCAAACCUCUUUCAAGAGUAAUUACAACAUCGUGAGAAUUAUGAGUAUUAGUGCCACAUUGGCAUUUUGUUGUUCUGAAGACAGUAAAGAAGAUAUUUUAGACGCAAUGCCGGGUUUGAAUUAUGAUAGUGAACAGAUUGAGGCAUGCCCUCAGUUCUGUAUAACACUGGGGGUAGGGCCUCAGUGGUGGUCCUGAUGCCCCCCAUGCCGCAUGUAGUGUGACACCAAUUAGCACAGAGGGCAGCGGCGUGGGGAAACCAAAGGAGCUCUCUGUGAGCCAACCACGCAACUACAACAAAAUUGUUACGGAGAAGGAGUUACUGGAAGCAGCUGGGCAGCAUCCAUCUCUGCGCUUGACGUUCGUGCUUCGACUUACUGAGAACAUUGAGGUGAUUUUGGAAACGGUGCUAUGGCAACACCGACUUUACAUCCAGUUCCCAUCAAGUUUUCUGUCUGAGGGCUCCAAGCAGGGGUUUUUGGCUAUGUUGGAAUAUGCAGAAGAAGUACUCAAGUGCACCGACGUCAUUGUGUGCUUCAAGAAAGAUUGCAAUGACAGAGCACUGAUAGUGCGAACAUUCAUGUACAUGGGGUUCACUACAUUGCCGCCAGGGCACCAGCUGAUACCUGGUAACACCGACACUGGCAUUAUGUACAUGCUGUGUUCCAUCGAGUAGCAAAGACUCAGUCUCAGCAGACAGAAGUACCCUUUCAGAUGUCGUGCCAAACAAUGGAUUUAUUCUUCUCUUGCCACUUCUAACGAAGAAAAUUGUUACAUAUGGCUGAGUGCAAAUACUGGCUUCAAAGGCUGUUUUUGAUCUCCAAACAUUGAAAUUGUUAGUUCUGAACUCAAAGAAAAUUCAUUCUACAAUAGACAUGCUUAAUUGUCUUAUAUUUCAUAAGAGCAUCAUUUCUUCUGGGAAUUGCGUUUUAAUAUUGUAACUAUUACAGUCACAAGUUUGUGGAAAAUGUUUGAUCGUUGCACAUCCUUUUAAUGUUUCAGCUUUGUUUUAAAUUCUGUUCGUUAGGUAGUAAAUUCAUUUUAAAAAUGUGUAUAUUUGUAUUGAUAAGCUAAUGGAAUAUUUAUACAUGUUUGUUCUUGUAAUAGAUGUUGACAUAAGUAGGAUUUGAGGUUUUUUACAGCGGCGAGUCUGAAGAUGGCU